Galeopterus variegatus (Sunda flying lemur) is the source of this 574-nucleotide long non-coding RNA. RefSeq lists it as uncharacterized. Lineage: Eukaryota; Metazoa; Chordata; Mammalia; Dermoptera; Cynocephalidae. The transcript has 2 exons. The record is from RefSeq and is a predicted model, not a curated record.
CCUCUGAGUGGCUGCCGCGGCCUCCCCUCCCCCCUGCGCCGUCGCGGGCCGCGCGCCUGGGCGCGCACCCGGGCUCGCCGCGACUCGCUCUCUCCCGGGACUGCUCCCCUCUCUGCAAGCCGGGACUUGCCGCCGGUGCCCCUGAGGGCUCGCAGCUGGAACUCGAACGCGCUGGAACCGACUGCUGCGAGCCGGCUCCCUGCCUGAGACAUUGCUCUUUGCCCGGGCCGGGGUCUCCUGCAGCCGGGACGCCCGCGGGCCAGGUGACCACCCCUGCAUGCGGGGCAGGGGAGCUCGCGCAUGCCUUGAUCCAACCAGGUCGCUCGCCCAGGGUUUUAUUCCAUGUCAUUUGGUCUGCCCCGGCCUCCAGGGGAGUUCUGUGCAUAAAUCCCAUAAAAUUCUAUAAUGUGGAGCUGACACUGAGCCUCCCCAGAACGAAAUCUGCUAAUGAUCACUGCUUGCCAGGAGCCUGCGGACAAGGAUCAGACGUGUCGCAACCCCCAUGCCUGCCUCCCGCCUAAGCCCUUUCUAAUAAGGACUCUUUUCAUGAGUUUAUAAAAACACUUUGUUCAGA